GAGCGGAUGAAAGGAGCUUGCUCCUGGAUUCAGCGGCGGACGGGUGAGUAAUGCCUAGGAAUCUGCCUGGUAGUGGGGGACAACGUUUCGAAAGGAACGCUAAUACCGCAUACGUCCUACGGGAGAAAGCAGGGGACCUUCGGGCCUUGCGCUAUCAGAUGAGCCUAGGUCGGAUUAGCUAGUUGGUGAGGUAAUGGCUCACCAAGGCGACGAUCCGUAACUGGUCUGAGAGGAUGAUCAGUCACACUGGAACUGAGACACGGUCCAGACUCCUACGGGAGGCAGCAGUGGGGAAUAUUGGACAAUGGGCGAAAGCCUGAUCCAGCCAUGCCGCGUGUGUGAAGAAGGUCUUCGGAUUGUAAAGCACUUUAAGUUGGGAGGAAGGGUUGUAGAUUAAUACUCUGCAAUUUUGACGUUAC
RNAcentral lists this ribosomal RNA (419 nucleotides) under uncultured bacterium. RNAcentral describes it as "bacterial SSU rRNA". It matches the Rfam family "Bacterial small subunit ribosomal RNA", at positions 64 to 478 of the family's 1533-position model. The record is from RNAcentral.